This 812-nucleotide ribosomal RNA is filed under the name uncultured bacterium. Its description in RNAcentral is "bacterial SSU rRNA". It matches the Rfam family "Bacterial small subunit ribosomal RNA", at positions 8 to 813 of the family's 1533-position model. The record is from RNAcentral.
AGAGUUUGAUCCUGGCUCAGGAUGAACGCUAGCGACAGGCUUAACACAUGCAAGUCGAGGGGCAGCGAGGGCGUAGCAAUACGCCUGUCGGCGACCGGCGCACUGGUGAGUAACACGUAUGCGACCUGCCCCCUACAGGGGUAUAACCCGUAGAAAUGCGGACUAAUCCCCCAUAGUCCUGGAGGCUGCAUGGCUUUCAGGGGAAAGGCCAGCCGGUAGGGGAUGGGCAUGCGGCGCAUUAGCUAGUUGGCGGGGCAACGGCCCACCAAGGCGACGAUGCGUAGGGGUUCUGAGAGGAAGGUCCCCCACACUGGUACUGAGACACGGACCAGACUCCUACGGGAGGCAGCAGUGAGGAAUAUUGGUCAAUGAGCGCAGGCCUGAACCAGCCAAGUCGCGUGAGGGAUGACGGUCCUACGGAUUGUAAACCUCUUUUGUCGGGGAGUAACGUGCGGGACGUGUCCCGUAUUGAGAGUACCCGAAGAAAAAGCAUCGGCUAACUCCGUGCCAGCAGCCGCGGUAAUACGGAGGAUGCGAGCGUUAUCCGGAUUUAUUGGGUUUAAAGGGUGCGCAGGCGGCGCGCCAAGUCAGCGGUCAAAGUUCCGGGCUCAACCCGGUGUCGCCGUUGAAACUGGCGUGCUCGAGUGCGUGCGAGGAAGGCGGAAUGCGUUGUGUAGCGGUGAAAUGCAUAGAUAUGACGCAGAACUCCGAUUGCGAAGGCAGCUUUCCAGCGCGCUACUGACGCUGAGGCACGAAAGCGUGGGGAUCGAACAGGAUUAGAUACCCUGGUAGUCCACGCAGUAAACGAUGAA